Molecule: long non-coding RNA, 122 nt
Organism: Xiphophorus hellerii (green swordtail)
Lineage: Eukaryota; Metazoa; Chordata; Actinopteri; Cyprinodontiformes; Poeciliidae
Exons: 3
Source: RefSeq, a predicted model, not a curated record
UUAACCUGACAGUAAUAACUCUGUCAUAUUGUAUUUAAGCAGAGGCAUUUUAUUCUAGAUUGGUAGUAAAUGUAUACACAGAGGUGGAGAAUCACUUUCCUUUUUGUGACAAGAAAACAAAU